Molecule: long non-coding RNA, 475 nt
Filed under: Homo sapiens (human)
Lineage: Eukaryota; Metazoa; Chordata; Mammalia; Primates; Hominidae
Description: HSALNT0168573
Source: RNAcentral
AAAGACAUGCUUGAUGAAAAUAAUCUUGUUUACCACAAUUAUGUGGAUGUCUACAUGCAAUGCAUAAUUGGCACAGCAACAACAAACAUGGGAGUAUUCAGUCUUGUACCUCCGCCCCCAUGUUUGUUGACUUACUGUGCAUAAUAACUGGGACUGGGACCGUAACAGGAUCUGAGAAUAGAGCUCUUAGUAUCUGAAACAUUUUCUAAGUGAGGCAUCUGUCUCUAACAGCAACUGCUGGAGAGUGCAGUAGCCGCUGAUUCCAUUGGCAAAAGCUCACAGUUUGAAAAGCAAAAAUAUGACUAGGAAGGGACACAAAGUAUGCUCUCCAACUGUCAGAAAAUAAAACUAGUAACAUAAAAAAAGGGCCUCUUAUUUUAUUCCUCAAUUUAUCAUCAAAUAAUUGUUUCGACUGUGAGGAAAGGCAGACUGUGACCCUGAUAUGAAGCUAUUUGGGGAGGAAUUUAGCUUCACA